UUUAAAGAGAGUUUGAUCCUGGCUCAGGACGAACGCUGGCGGCGUGCCUAAUACAUGCAAGUCGAACGAAUGACCUUAGGAGCUUGCUCCUUUGGUCGUUAGUGGCGGACGGGUGAGUAACACGUGGGCAACCUGCCUGUAAGAUUGGGAUAACUCCGGGAAACCGGAGCUAAUACCGAAUAAUAAUUAGCUCCGCAUGGAGCGGGUUUGAAAGGCGGCUUCGGCUGUCACUUACAGAUGGGCCCGCGGUGCAUUAGCUAGUUGGUGGGGUAAAGGCCUACCAAGGCGACGAUGCAUAGCCGACCUGAGAGGGUGAUCGGCCACACUGGGACUGAGACACGGCCCAGACUCCUACGGGAGGCAGCAGUAGGGAAUCUUCCGCAAUGGACGAAAGUCUGACGGAGCAACGCCGCGUGUGUGAAGAAGGUUUUCGGAUCGUAAAGCACUGUUGUUAGAGAAGAACAAGGAUAAGAGUAACUGCUUGUCCCUUGACGGUAUCUAACCAGAAAGCCACGGCUAACUACGUGCCAGCAGCCGCGGUAAUACGUAGGUGGCAAGCGUUGUCCGGGAAUUAUUGGGCGUAAAGCGCGCGCAGGCCGGUUCUUAAGGCCGAAGGGGAAAGCCCCCGGCCUAACCG
RNAcentral lists this non-coding RNA (637 nucleotides) under Listeria grayi DSM 20601. RNAcentral's name for it is "Bacterial small subunit ribosomal RNA". It matches the Rfam family "Bacterial small subunit ribosomal RNA", at positions 1 to 615 of the family's 1533-position model. Lineage: Bacteria; Bacillati; Bacillota; Bacilli; Caryophanales; Listeriaceae. The record is from Rfam by way of RNAcentral.